Non-coding RNA from Monodelphis domestica (gray short-tailed opossum), 1573 nucleotides. The record is from RefSeq and is a predicted model, not a curated record. Lineage: Eukaryota; Metazoa; Chordata; Mammalia; Didelphimorphia; Didelphidae.
GUGAAGAAGACAUGCCUUUGAUUGCUGGUGUAACAAUACAACACAAAAUGUGGCCUUGUUGAAGUGGGUGAUAUAUGAGCCACACUGAGAACCUCAGACCUCUCCCUUUGGUUCCCCUACCUUUCAAUGGCUUAAUGAGAGGUUCCUGAAUCACAAUGAAGCAGCUUUUAAUAAAAAAGUCACAGAGUCCAAGACAGUGCCUGGCAUAUUGAAGGCAUUUUGAAAUAAAUGCUUACUGAUUGACUGAUAUCAUCAAUAUUUCUACUGGAAAAGGUGAAAAGUUGAGCAUAGGGAAGGUUAUUCUUUAAUCUAAGGAACAGAAUAUAUAAAAGGAUAAAUGGAAUAUGCUCUGGUAAGGAAUUCUCAGAAACAACAAAGGGAAGGAACAGGAAGAAUGGGUUUCUUUUAAUAAAAGUGAUGGGAAAUUUCAAAGGAAUUGGUCUCUUUAUCUUAAAAUUUGUGAUAGAGGAUAAGAAAUCUAUUUAACAUGCACUAAAGGGUCUGGCAGAACAUUUUUCAAAGAGUUCAGAGAAAAAGAAAUGUAGGAUUACCAUGGCCAAAAUGCAUAGUUGAUCUUUGGAGGGUGAUGUGCUCUCUAGAGUAGAAUUCUAAUGAUACAGAGGCUAUCUUAAUCAAAACAAAAAUAGGGAUUGUAUUAGAAAGACUUUGUGGACAUAUAAAGACAUUGUUAAUUGAUUUUUUUUAAAGAGAGAAUGUGAAGGCAACAGAAGGUAAUGGGGAAUAUUUAAUAGAGUUGUAUGAUCCUAUAACAUUGAGAGCAAAGGUUCAGAAGUAGCAUCAUUCAAAGGGGCAUCCACCUAGUUCAGGAUUAGGGGUAAAGCAAUAAUACCACUCAGGUCAGAGCAGGUAUAUUCACUUUUGAAGUUCUACAUUUCAGGGAAGGACAUUGAUAAGAGCAGAAAUAUAACCCAAGAAGAUUGAUCAGAAUAUUGGGUGGAUCUGAACACAUUUUUUUGCAGUGAGGAGAAAUCUUUCUUUUAUCCCAGUAGGGGAAAAAAUGAAAAUAAAUCCCUAUAACAAAUAUACAUUAUACAUACUCAAAUCCCCAUAUUGGUCAGCAUACACAUAUAUACUUACAAACAUGAACAAUAAACAUAUAUGCAUCUCUAUUCAUAUAUGCAUAGCUAUACAUAUGCAUGUGUGUGCAUAUAUGUAAGUCAUUUAAUAUGCUAAUGUUAUAUACAGUCUUAUAACAUUGUCUAAAAAUAUAGUAGUAGUCUCUUGGUAACCGAGGAUGACGAUUGUCUUUGUGCAUUUUUAUCUAUGAUACAUGAGUGUGCACAAAAACACUUGUGCGUGAAGGAGAUUUAAGUGGAAGAGUCCAUGCACAGAGACAGUCCCACUCUCUCGGCGUUGGAAGCCUGGGUCCAGUGGCACGAAAAGUCGUUACACCUGGAGACUUCCUCAGCUGCAUUGGAUGGCCGUGUUGUCUUUUGUGCUCCAUCACGCCCUAAGCACUCCACAGUGCUUUGCUGCGUCGCCCUCUCAGCCGUUGAACCUUCUUAUUGGUUUCUUCCGUUUCUUCCGUCUCUUCCGCCGAAGCAGUCUUCAC